GAAGAAGUACCCCGGAGAUGUUGAGGAAUCUCUGUGUUCAGAUCCUAUGCCAGAGAACACAAGGGCAGCAUGGCCCUGGGCCACUUCACAAUCCAGCUGGCAAAUCAAAUAGACACAGAAGAAACUCAGGAACCCUCACGAGGGGGAUAGACAAAAAAACUCCAGUCGCCCAUUGGCCUUCCUUCUGUGAAUCCAUCUUUGGCUCUCCCCGGGGCAGAAAGAUGGAGGCCCUAGAGAAGAUAACUUGAAACUCAGCUCCUGCCUUCCAGAAGCCCUCAGAGCAUCAGGGAAGAGAAAGUGCAGCCACCACUCCGAGGGAAGAGGCAAGGCAAGCCAGUGCUGCUCAGCCUCUACCUGUGGCUGAACCUGAGACUCUGCAUUUCUGGCCAGCAACGCAGGAGAUGCGAGGCUGCAGUCUCAGUCGCAUCUGGAGUGGCUGGGAGUGGAGCAGGUGUGGGGAAGACACCAGAGAACGGAGGCAGGCAGAGCAGGAUGAGGCUGAAGCCAAGUGGUCGGGGACCGGGGACUGGGAUCCAGCCACAGCUUGGCUCUUACUUCAUUUGUUAGUUUCCAUCCCACAAAUCACAGUGUACAGCCUCACCAAGUGCCCACCUGCCCCGCUUCACCGAGGUCCCUAAGCAACACUGACACAGAAUUGACCAGGGCU
RNAcentral lists this long non-coding RNA (667 nucleotides) under Mus caroli (Ryukyu mouse). RNAcentral's name for it is "lncRNA (MGP_CAROLIEiJ_G0004805.1)". Lineage: Eukaryota; Metazoa; Chordata; Mammalia; Rodentia; Muridae. The record is from RNAcentral.